ACAACGAGUUUGGACUCGUUAUCAAAAGAUUUCAAAAGUUCAUGCGCAAGGAGUAUGAACGCAAAGGGAAAAAGCAAGGAGAAAUAAAAUGCUACGAAUACGGAGAAACCGGGCACAUCAAGUCAAAUUGCCCAAACCUCAAAAAGGAAAAGAAACCCUUUAAAAAGCAACGCGCAUAUAUUUCUUGGGGAGGUGACUCCGGAGAUGAGUCAAGUGAAGGAGAAGAAGACGAAGCAACAAAUCUUUGCCUCAUGGCACAAGAAGAUAACAAAGACGAAGUAUGUCAAAUUUCAUCUCAAAACUUCUUUACUCUUGAUGAAAUGCGAA
RNAcentral lists this long non-coding RNA (327 nucleotides) under Nicotiana benthamiana. RNAcentral's name for it is "long non-coding RNA (NBEN_LNC024375)". Lineage: Eukaryota; Viridiplantae; Streptophyta; Magnoliopsida; Solanales; Solanaceae. The record is from RNAcentral.